Long non-coding RNA from Acipenser ruthenus (sterlet), 1820 nucleotides. RefSeq lists it as uncharacterized. The transcript is spliced from 3 exons. NCBI's taxonomy places the organism in Eukaryota, Metazoa, Chordata, Actinopteri, Acipenseriformes, Acipenseridae. The record is from RefSeq and is a predicted model, not a curated record.
CUAAAUUCGACUUAAAACUCAAGUGCUUUUGUAAGGCGCGGGCACGACACGCGUGCACGAUUGGCAGCUCCACGUCGACAUUCUUCCAGAUGCAGAUUUGUUCUAUACAGAGAGAGGGAAGCCGACGCGGAGUUUGUCUGACUGGCAGCGCCAGCUGGCGCCGUAGUGUGCACGACUUACUCCAGCCAGGGUGCUGUACUGCAAUGAUUUGUGACAACAGCGAUGCCUUGGAUGAAACUGAGGGUGCACAGUGGCUUUCAAAGUAAAGUUCUGUAAUACACUUAGAUUCUAAUUGUUUGCAGUCAGUGCAUUACAGAACUUUGUUUUGGGAGUUAUGUUCUGUCUAUGGAAAAAGAUAUGGUAUCUCUAAAGGUUGUGAAAAUGAAAUGCAUACAGUACAUUGAUUAUUUUAUUAGCCAGUUGCACAUGUAUCAUUUUAAUCUGCUUUGUUUCUGACUGAUUCAUUUUGAUCAACUACCUGCAUGUAUUUGAGGCUGUGUGGUCCAGUGGUUAAAGAAAUGGGCUUGUAACCAGGAGGUCCCUGGUUCAAAUCCCACCUCAGCCACUGACUCACUGUGUGACCCUGAGCAAAUCAGUUAACCUCCUUAUGCUCUAAGGCGACUUACAAUUGUUACAAGAUAUCACAUUAUUUUUACAUACAAUUACCCAUUUAUACAGUUGGGUUUUUACUGGAGCAAUUUAGGUAAAGUACCUUGCUCAAGGGUACAGCAGCAGUGUCCCCUACCAGGGAUUGAACCCACAACCCUCCGGUCAAGAGUCCAGAGCCCUAACCACUACGCCACACUUCUGCCCUACAUUUCGUCAUGCAGGUGAAAUGUAGUUGUAAGUGACUCUGCAGCACCCUAGUCUCUCUAAGUCGCCUUGGAUAAAGGCAUCUGCUAAAUAAACAAAUAAUAAUGUAUAGUAACCAGACAAGCAGGGAUGGGUGGAAUGUCCUCUCAUUUGUAACUUAUGUUCUCAUAUGUGUUUUGUACAUUUUUAAAAAAAAACUUUUGUAAAGAUUGAUGUCAUUUGUAUUCCAAGCUAAUUUGUCUAAAGCACCAUGAUCAGCUUUAAGGGUAAUAUAUUAUGAUACAUUUUGUGGCUGUAAUACAUGAUCAGCAUUUAGAUACAUUGGAUGAAAUUUGUAACAGUGUAAAAUGUUACAGAGAAAUCCAUAUUUACAGUGGUAAAGAGAGAUGAGAAAGAAAGAUCAUCACAACCAAACUAAGGUAUACGUUUUCAUGCAAUAUUACACAUGCUUUUCCAGGCAUAGUUAAAUCAUUCUCAGAAACAUUUGAUGUAUUUUGAAUUGCUUUGAAACUGUGGUGUAGUAUAAAAUAAAUAUAUGUUAGUCAGUUAUAAUCCGAGAGUAAGCAAUGAUACUUAAAUGUAUGUGGCUAUCACAUUUAAAUUCAAAUACAAUUCAUUUUUCAUGUUUUGUUGAGUUUUCUUUGUACUUACUAGAACUAUUUAAUUCAACUCCCACUGUUGUAAAUUCUAGCAAUGACUAGCACUAGUUUAUCCUGCUUAGAUCUAGAACAAGUUUUGCUGUGUUUUAGCAGGUGAGACUGGUUGAAGAGACUAAUACUGGUUAUACUGAUUUAAAAAAAAACAAACAAACAAAAAAAACAGUCCAUUUAAGCCAUGGAUGUCUUGUCAACGUUUCCAUGUAAUUGUUUUAUGUAUAUCUGUUUCUGGGCUUUAACUGUCAGUUAGGCAAUACACAAGAAACUGUUUAAUUCUGUAAUUCUGUAUUGUUUUUUCUAGCAAGUCUUCUAAAAUAAAACAUACUGGUCAAUAAAGAUUAUUAAAUUGUC